Molecule: ribosomal RNA, 253 nt
Filed under: uncultured bacterium
Lineage: Bacteria
Description: partial 16S ribosomal RNA
Rfam family: Bacterial small subunit ribosomal RNA
Source: RNAcentral
UACGUAGGGUGCAAGCGUUGUCCGGAAUUAUUGGGCGUAAAGAGCUCGUAGGCGGUUUGUCGCGUCUGCUGUGAAAACUCAGGGCUUAACCCUGAGCCUGCAGUGGGUACGGGCAGACUAGAGUGUGGUAGGGGAGAUCGGAAUUCCUGGUGUAGCGGUGGAAUGCGCAGAUAUCAGGAGGAACACCGGUGGCGAAGGCGGGUCUCUGGGCCGAUACUGACGCUGAGGAGCGAAAGCGUGGGGAGCAAACAGG